RNAcentral lists this ribosomal RNA (407 nucleotides) under uncultured Prevotella sp. RNAcentral's name for it is "bacterial SSU rRNA". It matches the Rfam family "Bacterial small subunit ribosomal RNA", at positions 354 to 755 of the family's 1533-position model. Lineage: Bacteria; Pseudomonadati; Bacteroidota; Bacteroidia; Bacteroidales; Prevotellaceae. The record is from RNAcentral.
UGAGGGAAUAUUUGGGGUCAAUGGGCGAGAGCCUGAACCAGCCAAGUAGCGUGCAGGAUGACGGCCCUAUGGGUUGUAAACUGCUUUUAUAAGGGAAUAAAGUGGGUCACGUGUGACUUUUUGCAUGUACCUUAUGAAUAAGGACCGGCUAAUUCCGUGCCAGCAGCCGCGGUAAUACGGAAGGUCCGGGCGUUAUCCGGAUUUAUUGGGUUUAAAGGGAGCGUAGGCCGUCUUUUAAGCGUGUUGUGAAAUACUGUCGCUCAACGACAGAGAUGCAGCGCGAACUGGGAGACUUGAGUGCGCGGAAUGCAGGCGGAAUUCGUCGUGUAGCGGUGAAAUGCUUAGAUAUGACGAAGAACUCCGAUUGCGAAGGCAGCUUGCAGUAGCGUAACUGACGCUGAAGCUCG